RNAcentral lists this transfer RNA (61 nucleotides) under Macrocheles nataliae. Its description in RNAcentral is "tRNA-Cys". Lineage: Eukaryota; Metazoa; Arthropoda; Arachnida; Mesostigmata; Macrochelidae. The record is from RNAcentral.
AAAUCUUAUAGUUUAUGAAAAAUAUUAAAUUGCAAGUUUAAAGAAAUUAAUUUUAAGAUUU